RNAcentral lists this transfer RNA (86 nucleotides) under Actinomycetes bacterium. Its description in RNAcentral is "Actinobacteria bacterium tRNA-Leu". It matches the Rfam family "tRNA". From Rfam's summary of the family: Transfer RNA (tRNA) molecules are approximately 80 nucleotides in length. The record is from RNAcentral. Lineage: Bacteria; Bacillati; Actinomycetota; Actinomycetes. RNAcentral also lists the same sequence under 2 other names.
GCGGGCGUGGCGGAAUUGGCAAACGCGCCGGGUUUAGGUCCCGGUGGGGCUCACGCCCCUUAGAGGUUCGAGUCCUCUCGCCCGCA